GACUCCGGUGGUGGCACUCCUGACUUCUGUCAGGAACAGGGUUCGACUCCCUGCGGUGUC
RNAcentral lists this small nuclear RNA (60 nucleotides) under Periophthalmus magnuspinnatus. The record is from RNAcentral. Lineage: Eukaryota; Metazoa; Chordata; Actinopteri; Gobiiformes; Gobiidae.